This is a long non-coding RNA of Hemicordylus capensis (graceful crag lizard), 596 nucleotides long. RefSeq lists it as uncharacterized. The transcript is spliced from 2 exons. The record is from RefSeq and is a predicted model, not a curated record. Lineage: Eukaryota; Metazoa; Chordata; Lepidosauria; Squamata; Cordylidae.
UGGGGGCCCAACCAGGGAUACCUCACAUGACUCCCCACUGCCCCCUGUCCCGCCCCAAGGCCCCUCAGCCAGUUGCCCUGUUUGCCUCUCUCCUGCUCGUCCUCCUGGCGGGCCAUCUAAGCAGCAGGCCAGCUGCAAAGAGCUCCUUUUCUCCCUGGCGCCUCCCAGCUGAUGGGCGGGUGGGCAGGACUUCCAGGGAGGCCUCCGUGUAGGCCUCAGUGAAGCCUGAACUGGAGUUGGCUUGCAGGGAGGCCCCAAGCAAGGAAGGAAGGAGGCAGGCAGGCAGGCAGGCAGGCAGGCAGAGUGGCCCCCACAGCUCUCUGCAGCAGACCCCUCUGCCCAGCCCAGCAUUUGCCAGAUACGAUGCUGAUGUGUGGAGAGACCCCACGGAUAAAGUGGAUCAAGAUGAGAUGGAGGGGUGGCUUUGCCGAGUCUUUGCUGACAUGAUAGCACUCUGGGCAGACUUGUUUCCUGUGCCCUGGAAUCAACUUCCAUUCAUUCAUUUCUAUUUUUUCUUUAAUUUUAAAAAUUCUUCCUUCCUGAAAUCCUUCCUUCCUUCCUUCAUUUUUUAAAAAUUAAAAUUAAUUUGUCAUGGA